AUAUAUAUAUAUAUAUAUAUUUUUUUUUUUGGAUGUGGUGAACAUUUGUAUAUAUUAUUUUUGUUGAGGUGGAUAUUAAAAGUUUUGAAUUGCAACCACUGAUUUCAAUAAGAAAUCGAGGAGUAUAUUGUGUAAGAAAUAUGAAACUAUGGAACAUACUUUGUAGUUGUUUCAGAAAUUUAAUUUUGUUGCGUUACAUUGGUAUAUUUGCAUAUGAAUGUAUUAAUGUUUUACUACUAAACAGAUCAAUCUGUUGUUUGCUAACACAUCUGUCAUACUUUCUUUCACAUUAGUUGGUCAUUUCCUACAGAAACACUGAUUCUUUUGUUUGGGCUGCUAUGUGUUAUAGCUCCAUUUGCACCAUAAACAAACAGGUGACUCCAGACUCCCUGGAGGCGUCAUUCAUCACUGCGGCAUAACAUGACAGGAAUGUGAGACUGGACAAACAAAAUUAUUUUAGAGUUCAGCAGAAGACAAAUGAGUGAGAUUUCUACUGGACCCCUGCAGAACUGGUGCUGUCCUCUAAUAUGAGGAAUUGGAGGUAUGCAGCUGAGACAGUGCUUCUCACGUCAGAGACAUCAGGAAUGAAGGAGUAGAAGCCAACACUAUUCCCAAAAGCAACGCACACCAUCAUUCCCCACAGAUGCACAGUGGAAACCCUUGCUACAAGAUUUCAGAUUCAGCCCUUGCCAACAAAACAAACAUUAUGUGCUAUAAUUAUUGUAUUUCCAAGAGAAUGUCAAAUGAGCAGCAAUCUAAAUGGCCCUAACUUUACUUUUGGCUUUGAACAAUUUAGAGAUUUUAUUGUUUUAUGCUGUAAAUUACCAUUGACAUAUCUUCAAACUUUACCCUUAAAAUGUUGUUCUUUUGUAUAAAAGUACAAAUAUAUGGCAUGUUUUUUUUUACAUGUUUGCUUUUAGAUAACACUAUUUCAGCAUUUUCAGAAGAGUUCAAAUAAUCAAUAUUUGUUAAAAGAUUUGUUAUUCUUACCAAUUUUCUUUUCAUGAAAAAAGAAAAACAGUAACAAUACAGUACUUUAUUUGGAAUAAUUUAGAUAUUGUCUCAGACUUAUAAUAAAACAAAAAUUUUACUGAAAACCAUAUUAAUAAAUCCAGAAAAUUCAGUGAAAC
Molecule: non-coding RNA, 1130 nt
Organism: Danio rerio (zebrafish)
Lineage: Eukaryota; Metazoa; Chordata; Actinopteri; Cypriniformes; Danionidae
Source: RefSeq, a predicted model, not a curated record